AGUGAACGCUGGCGGCAGGCCUAACACAUGCAAGUCGAGCGGAAGAACGGUGCUUGCUUGCGGUUCCAGCGGGGGACGGGCGGGCGAUUCCUGAGAAUAUCCCUGUCUGCGUUUUCGAACGUCCUCACGCGGGCGCUCAUACCGCAUACGCGCAGACGCCGUAAGGGGGGGAGCAUGGGACCUUACGCCCUCGCGUGAUUGUAGGACGGAUUAGCUAGUUGGUGGGUUAACGGGCUACCAAGGCGACGAUCCGUAGCUGGUCUGAGAGGAUGAUCAGCCACACUGGAACUGAGACACGGUCCAGACUCCUACGGGAGGCAGCAGUGGGGAAUAUUGGACAAUGGGCGCAAGCCUGAUCCAGCCAUGCCGCGUGUGUGAAGAAGGCCUUCGGGUUGUAAAGCCCUUUUGGUGGGAAAGAAGAGCAGUAGGUUAAUGCCUUGCUGUUUUGACGGUACCAAAAGAAUAAGCACCGGCUAACUUCGUG
RNAcentral lists this ribosomal RNA (484 nucleotides) under uncultured bacterium. RNAcentral describes it as "partial 16S ribosomal RNA". It matches the Rfam family "Bacterial small subunit ribosomal RNA", at positions 29 to 507 of the family's 1533-position model. The record is from RNAcentral.